AUGCCGUCGUGGCCGAACAGCAACGAGACGUCGGACGACGAUGACGAGUACAUGAGCGAGUUCAGCAGCAUGCAGAUGGAGUACUUUCAAACUCCUGACACUGUGAUAGACCCUAGUUUUUGUGGGCUUGUGACUGAAUCUGACAGAAGGUGCAUCCUGCACAGGCAGAGGGCGGGCAAGUUUGUGGCAUUUGAAGGCACUGACACUGGCAGGAGAUUCAUAGGAUGUGCUACUGAGUGGGUAGAUGCCCCCUGGCCUGUAAUUCAGCAAAGGUGCUUAAGCAAGCUCUGGGAUAUGUAUCAUGAGCAGAACCUUGGUAGAGCCCACGAUAAUGAGGCUCAUGGGAUAAAGGUUGCAAAACUGCAAAAGGAGUUUGAUUCUCUGGCCAAUCAGUAUAGCCUGCCGGUGGAUGAUGUGUCCAAGUUGUUUGAUUAUCAGGAUGGAAUCAAAUCUCAUGACAUGGAUUGCACAAGCCAGGCAAUCAAUGAACUGAAGGAGAAGAAGAAGCAACUUGAGGAGCAGGCAAAGAUUGAGCUUCAAAUGGAGAAGCUUAAGCUCAAGAAAGAACAAAGGUGCAUCCUUCAGAGUCAAGCUGAUAUAAUCCAAAACACAAGGAAGGCCAUGAAGGAGCUAGAGGUGGAGAAAGAUCUCUUUAAAGAAGAGAAGAAGAAGCUGGAGAAUGUCAUUGCUGAGCUCCUUAAGGUUGGUCAUGGGUGCAAGAAAAAGCUGGACAAGAUAAAGGAAGUUGUGAUCACUACUAGGAAAAGGGCUAUAGAUGAUAUGGACACUAAUGACGCACCAGACAUGUGGUGCGCCACUACUAUAUACUAA
This 831-nucleotide ribosomal RNA is filed under the name Triticum aestivum (bread wheat). RNAcentral's name for it is "partial small subunit ribosomal RNA". Lineage: Eukaryota; Viridiplantae; Streptophyta; Magnoliopsida; Poales; Poaceae. The record is from RNAcentral.